This 253-nucleotide ribosomal RNA is filed under the name uncultured bacterium. RNAcentral describes it as "partial 16S ribosomal RNA". It matches the Rfam family "Bacterial small subunit ribosomal RNA", at positions 524 to 776 of the family's 1533-position model. The record is from RNAcentral.
UACGUAGGGGGCAAGCGUUGUCCGGAAUCAUUGGGCGUAAAGCGCGUGUAGGCGGCCAGAAAAGUCCGCUGUGAAAACUCGAGGCUCAACUUCGAGCUGUCGGUGGAAACUUUCUGGCUAGAGUCCGGAAGGGGCGAGUGGAAUUCCUGGUGUAGCGGUGAAAUGCGCAGAUAUCAGGAGGAACACCUAUGGCGAAGGCAGCUCGCUGGGACGUGACUGACGCUGAGACGCGAAAGCGUGGGGAGCAAACAGG